This 918-nucleotide ribosomal RNA is filed under the name uncultured Haloarcula sp. RNAcentral's name for it is "bacterial SSU rRNA". It matches the Rfam family "Archaeal small subunit ribosomal RNA", at positions 1 to 922 of the family's 1478-position model. The record is from RNAcentral. Lineage: Archaea; Methanobacteriati; Methanobacteriota; Halobacteria; Halobacteriales; Haloarculaceae.
UCCGGUUGAUCCUGCCGGAGGCCAUUGCUAUCGGAGUCCGAUUUAGCCAUGCUAGUUGCACGAGUUUAGACUCGUAGCAUAUAGCUCAGUGACACGUGGCCAAACUACCCUACAGACCGCCAUAACCUCGGGAAACUGAGGCCAAUAGCGGAUAUUACUCUCAUGCUGGAGUGCCGAGAGUGAGAAACGUUCCGGCGCUGUAGGAUGUGGCUGCGGCCGAUUAGGUAGACGGUGGGGUAACGGCCCACCGUGCCAAUAAUCGGUACGGGUUGUGAGAGCAAGAGCCCGGAGACGGAAUCUGAGACAAGAUUCCGGGCCCUACGGGGCGCAGCAGGCGCGAAACCUUUACACUGCACGCGAGUGCGAUAGGGGGACUCCGAGUGCGAGGGCAUACAGUCCUCGCUUUUCUGUACCGUAAGGUGGUACAGGAACAAGUGCUGGGCAAGACCGGUGCCAGCCGCCGCGGUAAUACCGGCAGCACGAGUGAUGGCCGAUCUUAUUGGGCCUAAAGCGUCCGUAGCCGGCCGGACAAGUCCGUUGGGAAAUCCACGUGCUCAACGCGUGGGCGUCCAGCGGAAACUGUCUGGCUUGGGGCCGGAAGACCUGAGGGGUACGUCCGGGGUAGGAGUGAAAUCCCGUAAUCCUGGACGGACCACCGGUGGCGAAAGCGCCUCAGGAAGACGGACCCGACGGUGAGGGACGAAAGCUAGGGUCUCGAACCGGAUUAGAUACCCGGGUAGUCCUAGCUGUAAACGAUGCUCGCUAGGUGUGCCGCAGGCUACGAGCCUGCGCUGUGCCGUAGGGAAGCCGUGAAGCGAGCCGCCUGGGAAGUACGUCUGCAAGGAUGAAACUUAAAGGAAUUGGCGGGGGAGCACUACAACCGGAGGAGCCUGCGGUUUAAUUGGAUUCAACGCCGGA